AGGAGGGCGUGCCGUCUCGCAAC
Molecule: ribosomal RNA, 23 nt
Filed under: Fritillaria usuriensis
Lineage: Eukaryota; Viridiplantae; Streptophyta; Magnoliopsida; Liliales; Liliaceae
Also listed under: 1 other name
Description: partial 28S ribosomal RNA
Source: RNAcentral